GCUGGGUGUGGUGGCGCAUGCCCGUAAUCCGAGCUACUUCGGAGGCUGAGGCAGGAGAAUCACUUGAACCAGGGAGUCGGAGGUUGCAGUGAGCCAAGAUUGUGCCACUGCACUCCAGCCUGGUGACAGAGUGAGACUCUGUCUCAA
Molecule: non-coding RNA, 147 nt
Filed under: Homo sapiens (human)
Lineage: Eukaryota; Metazoa; Chordata; Mammalia; Primates; Hominidae
Source: Rfam by way of RNAcentral